This 39-nucleotide ribosomal RNA is filed under the name Aspergillus nidulans. Its description in RNAcentral is "partial 26S ribosomal RNA". The record is from RNAcentral. Lineage: Eukaryota; Fungi; Ascomycota; Eurotiomycetes; Eurotiales; Aspergillaceae.
CCUUAUUUUUCUCAGGUUGACCUCGGAUCAGGUAGGGAU